GCCUGCUUAGCUCAGCGGUAGAGCAGCUGUUUUGUAAACAGCAGGUCGUCGGUUCAAAUCCGACAGCAGGCU
RNAcentral lists this transfer RNA (72 nucleotides) under Candidatus Roizmanbacteria bacterium CG2_30_33_16. Its description in RNAcentral is "tRNA-Thr". It matches the Rfam family "tRNA". Rfam says of the family: Transfer RNA (tRNA) molecules are approximately 80 nucleotides in length. Their secondary structure includes four short double-helical elements and three loops (D, anti-codon, and T loops). Further hydrogen bonds mediate the characteristic L-shaped molecular structure. tRNAs have two regions of fundamental functional importance: the anti-codon, which is responsible for specific mRNA codon recognition, and the 3' end, to which the tRNAs corresponding amino acid is attached (by aminoacyl-tRNA synthetases). tRNAs cope with the degeneracy of the genetic code in two manners: having more than one tRNA (with a specific anti-codon) for a particular amino acid; and 'wobble' base-pairing, i.e. permitting non-standard base-pairing at the 3rd anti-codon position. Lineage: Bacteria; Candidatus Roizmaniibacteriota. The record is from RNAcentral. RNAcentral also lists the same sequence under 1 other name.